UACGUAGGUGGCAAGCGUUGUCCGGAUUUAUUGGGUUUAAAGGGUGCGUAGGCGGUUUUGUAAGUCAGUGGUGAAAUACUCCAGCUUAACUGGAGGGGUGCCAAUGAUACUGCAGAACUUGAGUACAGAUGAGGUAGGCGGAAUUGACGGUGUAGCGGUGAAAUGCAUAGAUAUCGUCAAGAACACCGAUAGCGAAGGCAGCUUACUGGGCUGUAACUGACGCUGAGGAGCGAAAGCGUGGGGAGCGAACAGG
This 253-nucleotide ribosomal RNA is filed under the name uncultured bacterium. Its description in RNAcentral is "partial 16S ribosomal RNA". It matches the Rfam family "Bacterial small subunit ribosomal RNA", at positions 524 to 776 of the family's 1533-position model. The record is from RNAcentral.